This 497-nucleotide ribosomal RNA is filed under the name uncultured bacterium. RNAcentral describes it as "partial 16S ribosomal RNA". It matches the Rfam family "Bacterial small subunit ribosomal RNA", at positions 28 to 507 of the family's 1533-position model. The record is from RNAcentral.
GACGAACGCUGGCGGCGUGCCUAAUACAUGCAAGUAGAACGCUGAAGAGAGGAGCUUGCUCUUCUUGGCUGAGUUGCGAACGGGUGAGUAACGCGUAGGUAACCUGCCUUGUAGCGGGGGAUAACUAUUGGAAACGAUAGCUAAUACCGCAUAACAAUGGAUGACACAUGUCAUUUAUUUGAAAGGGGCAAUUGCUCCACUACAAGAUGGACCUGCGUUGUAUUAGCUAGUAGGUGAGGUAACGGCUCACCUAGGCGACGAUACAUAGCCGACCUGAGAGGGUGAUCGGCCACACUGGGACUGAGACACGGCCCAGACUCCUACGGGAGGCAGCAGUAGGGAAGCUUCGGCAAUGGGGGCAACCCUGACCGAGCAACGCCGCGUGAGUGAAGAAGGUUUUCGGAUCGUAAAGCUCUGUUGUAAGUCAAGAACGAGUGUGAGAGUGGAAAGUUCACACUGUGACGGUAGCUUACCAGAAAGGGACGGCUAACUACGUG